UACGGGGGGGUAAGCGUUGUUCGGAAUUACUGGGCGUAAAGGCUCGUAGGCGGCCAACUAAGUCAGACGUGAAAUCCCUCAGCUUAACUGGGGAACUGCGUCUGAUACUGGAUGGCUUGGAUUCGGGAGAGGAAUGCGGAAUCCAGGUGUAGCGGUGAAAGUGCGUAGAUAUCAGGAGGAACACCGGUGGCGAAGGCGGGUCUCUGGGCCGUAACUGACGCUGAGGAGCGAAAGCGUGGGGAGCGAACAGG
This 251-nucleotide ribosomal RNA is filed under the name uncultured bacterium. RNAcentral describes it as "partial 16S ribosomal RNA". It matches the Rfam family "Bacterial small subunit ribosomal RNA", at positions 524 to 776 of the family's 1533-position model. The record is from RNAcentral.